Molecule: ribosomal RNA, 406 nt
Filed under: uncultured bacterium
Lineage: Bacteria
Description: partial 16S ribosomal RNA
Rfam family: Bacterial small subunit ribosomal RNA
Source: RNAcentral
GACGAACGCUGGCGGCGUGCCUAAUACAUGCAAGUAGGACGCAGUUGCGAACGGGAGAGUAACGCGUGGGUCACUAGCUAUUAGCGGGAGAUAACUAUUGGAAACGCUAGCGACUACCGCAUACUAGUAGAUGGACCUUCGUUGUAUUAGCUAGUAGGUAGGGUAAAGGCCUACCUAGGCAACGAUCCAUAGCCGACCUGAGAGGGUGAUCGGCCACACUGGGACUGAGACACGGCCCAGACUCCUACGGGAGGCAGCAGUAGGGAAUCUUCGGCAAUGGGGGAAACCUGACCGAGCAACGCCGCGUGAGUGAAGAAGGUUUUCGGAUCGUAAAGCGCUGUUGUUAAGGAAGCGGUACUUAACCAGAAAGGGACGGCUAACUACGUGCCAGCAGCCGCGGUAAUUC